This 500-nucleotide ribosomal RNA is filed under the name uncultured bacterium. RNAcentral's name for it is "partial 16S ribosomal RNA". It matches the Rfam family "Bacterial small subunit ribosomal RNA", at positions 28 to 507 of the family's 1533-position model. The record is from RNAcentral.
GACGAACGCUGGCGGCGUGCCUAAUACAUGCAAGUCGUGCGGACCUUGUUGAAAGCUUGCUUUUAAAAGGUUAGCGGCGGACGGGUGAGUAACACGUGGGCAACCUGCCUGUAAGACUGGGAUAACGCCGGGAAACCGGGGCUAAUACCAGAUCGUUUUUUCCUCCGCAUGGAGGAAAAAGGAAAGGCGGCUUCGGCUGCCACUUACAGAUGGGCCCGCGGCGCAUUAGCUAGUUGGCGGGGUAAUGGCCCACCAAGGCAACGAUGCGCAGCCGACCUGAGAGGGUGAUCGGCCACAUUGGGACUGAGACACGGCCCAAACUCCUACGGGAGGCAGCAGUAGGGAAUCUUCCGCAAUGGACGAAAGUCUGACGGAGCAACGCCGCGUGAGUGAAGAAGGCCUUCGGGUCGUAAAACUCUGUUGCCGGGGAAGAACAAGUGCCGUUCGAACAGGGCGGCGCCUUGACGGUACCCGGCCAGAAAGCCACGGCUAACUACGUG